RNAcentral lists this ribosomal RNA (490 nucleotides) under uncultured bacterium. Its description in RNAcentral is "bacterial SSU rRNA". It matches the Rfam family "Bacterial small subunit ribosomal RNA", at positions 28 to 537 of the family's 1533-position model. The record is from RNAcentral.
GAUGAACGUUGGCGGCGUGCCUAAUACAUGCAAGUCGAACGGAGAUUGUAGCAAUACGGUCUCAGUGGCGAACGGGUGAGUAACGCGUUGGUGACCUGCCCCGAAGUGUGGAAUAACAGAUCGAAAGAGCUGCUAAUACCGCAUAAUAUCCAGAGGACUAGAUGCCUUUGGAUUAAAGGAUUUAUUCGCUUCGGGAGGGGCCUGCGUCCCAUCAGCUAGUUGGUAAGGUAAAGGCUUACCAAGGCUAUGACGGGUAGGGGACCUGAGAGGGUGGCCCCCCACAAUGGAACUGAAACACGGUCCAUACACCUACGGGUGGCAGCAGUAGGGAAUAUUAGUAAUGGGCGAAAGCCUGAACUAGCAACGCCGCGUGUGCGAAGAAGGCCUUCGGGUUGUAAAGCACUUUUUGUAGAGGAUGAGGAAGGACGGGUACUCUCAGAAUAAGUCUCGGCUAACUACGUGCCAGCAGCCGCGGUAAACUAGUAGUCGU